UCCUAACCCUUAGCACUUCAGAAUGCAUCCUUAUUUGGAAAUAGGGUCAUUGUAGAUAUAAUUAGUUAAGAUGAGGUCAUACUGAAACAAGUGGGCCCUUAAUCCAAUGUGACUGGUGUCCUUAUAAGAAAAGGGCACACAGAAAACAGCCAUGUGACAACAGAGUGAUGCAUUUACAAGCCAAGGAACGCCAAGGAUGGCCAGCAACCCCCAGAAGCUGGAAGAGGCACGCAACAAUUCUCUCCUAGAGUUGCUAUAGAGAACAUGGUGCUGACGACACCUUGAUUUCAGACUUACGGCCUCCAGAACUCAUGAUCAGAAGGCUUUAAAGAACCCUCACUCAGAAACCUCAUAUUAUUUUUGGAUGCCUCCGGUGUAAAAGCACCCCCUGCGUUCCGAAUAAUUCAUUUCAAGAAACAUGGUAUUAAGUGUUUAGUAUGUACCAGGCGCCUGAAUAGGUGCAGGGGUAAAAAUGUCUUGACACCAAGGAACCUCCGGCAUUUGUGAAUCUGCUGAACAUCGCCAUUGAUGGACUGGAUGCUGCCGCCUUUGCCCCUCCCCCUCCUGCCACGUGUCAUCGCGCCUACUUAGCGACACCUAGUGGUCAGUAAAGAGAACUAUCUGAAUCAAUGACGCCUUUCAGGACUUCUCUCAACAGAGUUUGACCAAGUUUUCUUCUGCUGUGUCAGAUCCCUCUCCCAGAUCAGAUCAUUAGAACCUCCUCCAGUAUCUUAUGUAUAUGUGUCUAGAAUGACUUUUUUUUGAGACAGAGUCUUGCUCUGUCGCCCAGGCUGGAGUGCAAUGGCCUGAUCUUGGCUCACUGCAACCUCCACCUCCCAGGUUCAAGUGAUCCUCCCACCUCAGCCUCCCAAGUAGCUGGGAUUACAGGGACACGCCACCACGCCCGGCUAUUUUUGUAUUUUUAGUAGAGACAAGGUUUCACCAUGCUGGCCAGGCUGGUCUUGAACUCCUGACCUCCGGUGAUCUGCCUGCCUUGGCCUCCCAAAGUUCUGGGAUUACAGGUGUAAGCCACCGCACCCAGCCUAGAAUGACUUUUUAACAUCUCUUUCUGUACACAUUUGAUCAAUAACCUUGGAAACAUUAUUCUUGUAGCACAUUUUAUUGCUGUAAGGGCAAGUUAAGACUUCUGAAUAAGCAAAAAUGAUUACUGAGCAUCUCCAAUGGAAAACUAUGCAUUCUUUACAGCACACUUUUCUAAGUUAUUUGUUUCUAUGGAAUCUGUGUUUUUUUCUUGUCUUGGAGUUAUUCUAGAGCUCGGUAGAUUGUGGAUAAAUACAAAUAAUUCUUGUCUAUAAACAUGCAAAUAAAUUCUGCCUGAUGGAAGUUCAGUAGACUCCACCUUACCCCACACCCGCACUCCACCCCGCCUCCCAUGGAAAAAGUCAAUUUUGUGUCCAUUGGUAAAUGAAUUUCAACGUUGCUUUACUCUAUAUAAAUUGGUCUUUGACCUUGCCUUUGAACUGGUGGUGACCUCUGGCUAGUUUCCCCUUUAAUUCAUGAGUUAAAUAAAAUUUUGACAUGUUUUCAUUCUAUUAUAUGUAAGAGUCAUCGUUUUAUCUUUUUCAAAGUUAUUCUUUAGCAUUGGUAAUUCAAAAGAGACAUUAAAUUUAGCUGAGAAAUAUCAGACUACCUCUAGUGCUAAAUAUAAAUUAAGUAAAAGGUGUCAAAACCUGUGAGAAGAGUCUGAGAUGUUACCCUACUUGUAAGUUAACAGGUCAGCCUGCCUGUUUCAGGGAUGCUCACAGAAGACUCAAGACUUCUGGAGUUUUGAGUGAGACAAAGGACUUUGCUACUCACAGCACAGUAAACAGAAUUAGCUCCAUAUUGGUCUUGAUGCUUUUUGGCCCUAAGUCUACCAAGGACAAAGUGGAGCGGCCUAGAUGGAUGCUGCACAUACUGAGGGUUCGCAUCACAAUUGAGGACCCAGAGCUUAGGGAACAUGAAUCUUUUGUAAUGGGCUGCAAGCAAACCAGCCCAAACUUUGUCUCAGAGGCAGACCUUAUUUUUAUUUUACUGGACAGUAAGUGAAUCUGCCCUUUGCUCUGGAAGGAGACAACCUCUACCUUCAAAGCUGUUGUUCACUGUACAAGCAUCCAUAAAAUAGAGUACCUCUGCUUGCAAGUUGUACCUAUACACAAAAAACCCAUGGAGAACUUUCUCCCAACAAAAAGAAAGCAUUAAGUUGUCUAAUUCACUUAAACCUAUUAGAGAAUAUCUAGUUGGUGCCCAAUGGGCUUCAGUUCAAAAGAGGGAACUGAGCCCACAUACUGAGUAAUCCCCUUUCAACAGAUACACAAAUUCAUAUGGAAAUGAUUUAAGAAUAUAUAAAAGUGUGAACAUAUACCCACUUGCUCAAAAGAAAGCACUUUCACACAUAUAUUUCCUUGCUGUGUUAGUGGAGAAGGCCUAGAAGCGACAACACCCUGGUAGUGUCAAGCACAUCUAGCUCCCAGAUCUUGAUUACUAAU
RNAcentral lists this long non-coding RNA (2489 nucleotides) under Homo sapiens (human). Its description in RNAcentral is "HSALNT0033317". The record is from RNAcentral. Lineage: Eukaryota; Metazoa; Chordata; Mammalia; Primates; Hominidae.